AAUUUUGGACAAUGGGCGCAAGCCUGAUCCAGCCAUGCCGCGUGAGUGAAGAAGGCCUUCGGGUUGUAAAGCUCUUUCGGACGGAAAGAAAUUGCGCCGGCUAAUACCCUGCCCGGUUGUCGGAACCGCCAUAAGAAGCACCGGCUAACUACGUGCCUUCAGCUGCGGUAACACGUAGGGUGCGAGCGUUAUUCGGAAUUACUGGGCGGAAAGCGUGCGCAGGCGGUUGAUUAAGACAGGCGUGAAAUCCCCGGGCUUAACCUGGGAACUGCGCUUGUGACUGGUCAGCUAGAGUACGGCAGAGGGGGGUGGAAUUCCACGUGUAGCAGUGAAAUGCGUAGAGAUGUGGAGGAACACCGAUGGCGAAGGCAGCCCCCUGGGCCGAUACUGACGCUCAUGCACGAAAGCGUGGGUAGCAAACAGG
This 424-nucleotide ribosomal RNA is filed under the name uncultured bacterium. RNAcentral's name for it is "partial 16S ribosomal RNA". It matches the Rfam family "Bacterial small subunit ribosomal RNA", at positions 360 to 776 of the family's 1533-position model. The record is from RNAcentral.